Molecule: long non-coding RNA, 819 nt
Organism: Dermochelys coriacea (leatherback sea turtle)
Lineage: Eukaryota; Metazoa; Chordata; Testudines; Dermochelyidae
Exons: 2
Source: RefSeq, a predicted model, not a curated record
AGUGUUUCAAGACAUAUUGAAAAUCAACAUUAAUGGUCCAGCAAGCUCUUCUGCCAGCUCUUCUAAAGCUCUUGGAUGAAAGUGGUGCUUAAGACUGGAACAUCCCAGAAGAAUUGUAUUCAACCUUUUUACCAACUUGUGAUCUCUUACUGAACUUUAAAAUAUGAAAGUUGAAGUUAUAUUAGUAACAAUGUUUUCUUUUACCUCCAUUCUUCCCUUAAUGGUGUUCCCCACAAUACCCCAAAAACAGAAGUGUCAGUAUCAGGAUAGGAGCACUUUUCUGGAUCUAGGGAUAGGGAUGUGCAUCUGACUACUAUGCUCAAGAAGGAACACCUCCACCCCAACCAGAUGUCUCGAUUUUUAUAGGGACAGUCCUGAUUUUUGGGUCUUUUUCUUAUAUAGGCUCCUAUUACCCCCCCACCCCCGUCUCAAUUUUUCACACUUGCUGUCUGGUCACCCUACCCCACCACUGUGACAAUCCCUUACGGUAGCUACUGGUGAGAUGGGAAAGAUUACACAGUGCUCCCUUAAAGUCUCCUACAAUCCCUUUUCCAAACAUUUUUGUUCCUUCAAUGCCCCCUUCUGUUUUGGUUAAGGGCUUUUAUAUCUCUUUUUAUAUAAAACUUUUCAUUAUCCUUGCCCUAAGUAUCCUGUUCAUGUUGUUUCUCUCCCACACCUUCCCCUUCUUAAAAUAUAACAUCCUAUUUGUUCCCUUCAACUUCCCUUUUGGAUUUGAUAGAUUCAGGGUAUAAGAGCCAAGACUGACCCAUUUUGGGGAGAGAAUGUUUGACAAAAAAUAAAGUUUCUUUUUAAGUUGUC